Molecule: long non-coding RNA, 1247 nt
Filed under: Monodelphis domestica (gray short-tailed opossum)
Lineage: Eukaryota; Metazoa; Chordata; Mammalia; Didelphimorphia; Didelphidae
Description: lncRNA (ENSMODG00000044069.1)
Source: RNAcentral
GAGUCAAGUUAAUCAGCCAAUAAGCAUUUAAAAAGCAUUUAUUGGGGGGCAUCUGGGUAGCUCAGUGGAUAGAGAGCCAGGCCUAAAGAUGGGAGGUCCUAGGUUCAAAUCUGACCUCAGACACUUCCCAGCUAUGUGAUCCUGGGCAAGUCCUUUAGCCCACAUUGCCAGCCCUUACAACUCUUUUGCCUUGGAACCAAUACACAGUAUCAAUUAUAAAAUGGAAGGUAAGGGUUUAAACAAACAAAUAAAAAGUAUUUAUUAUGUGGCAGAUCUGCUGCUAAGUGCUAGGGAAAGGAAGGAAGGAAGGAGAGAAAAAAGAAGGAAGGAAGAAAGAGAAAGGAAGGAAGGAAGGAGAGAAGAAGGAAGGAAGAAAGAGAAAGGAAGGAAGGAGAGAAGAAAGAAGGAAGGAAGAAAGAGAAAGGAAGGAAGGAAGGAGAGAAGAAAGAAGGAAGGAAGAAAGGGAGAAAGGAAGGAAGAAAGAGAAAGGAAGGAAGGAAGGAGAGAAGAAAGAAGGAAGGAAGAAAGGGAGAAAGGAAGGAAGAGAGAAAGAAGGGAAGGAAGAGAAAGAAAGGAAAGAAGGAAGAUAUAGAAACAAAAAAAAAAGAAAGAAAAAGACCCAGUCUCUGCUCUCUAGAGGGAUUUUAAUCUAGUUGGGGGAGGGGAGACAACAUGCAAAUAAUCAUACAAAAACAAGAUAUACUGUAAACAGGAAAGGUUGGGAAUGGUCUCAGAGGAAAAGCAAUAAGGGUAGGGAGACAUGGGAGAGACUUCUUGUAGAAGGUGGGUCUUUGCCUGAGACUUGAAGGAAGCUAGGGGAGGUGGAGAUUAGGAAGGAAAGCACUGCAGGCAGGGGGAUUGGUCAGAGAAAAUGCUUUGACUUUGUUGAGGCUAGUGGUUGUGCCAGGAGGAGGCAGAUGAGCCUAAUUCACUAUCAGCUCCUUGUCACAGAGCCCCAAGUACCCAGGGCAAAGAUCACAAAUUGUCCAAAAGAGUGAAAUAAGUCCAGACAAGUUCACACAGUCUGUUAAAGAGACUGAUAUGGGGAAGAGGCUUACUCUGGGACUCCUGGGCACACCCUUGAAAUGUGCAUAUUUGGAACCCUUGACAAGAUGCAGCCUUACAGCCCUUUCUCCAUAAAACACUCCAAAAUGUUAGCUUAGUAGAAAAACUUCUGACUCCAAGACUAGGGGUGAGUCCUCUGAACUACUAUGUGACUGUGAACAGGCUCCUCAACCGCUCUGGAC